CGUGUAGGCGGCUUGGUAGGUCUGCUGUGAAAACUCGGGGCUCAACCCCGAGACGUCGGUGGAAACCACCUGGCUAGAGUCCGGAAGAGGAGAGUGGAAUUCCUGGUGUAGCGGUGAAAUGCGCAGAUAUCAGGAAGAAUAUCCGUGGCGAAGGCGGCUCUCUGGUACGGCACUGACGCUGAGACGCGAAAGCGUGGGGAGCGAACAGGAUUAGAUACCCUGGUAGUCCACGCCGUAAACGAUGGGUGCUAGGUGUGGGUGGUGUCGACUCCAUCCGUGCCGAAGCUAACGCAUUAAGCACCCCGCCUGGGGAGUACGGCCGCAAGGCUAAA
Molecule: ribosomal RNA, 332 nt
Filed under: uncultured bacterium
Lineage: Bacteria
Description: bacterial SSU rRNA
Rfam family: Bacterial small subunit ribosomal RNA
Source: RNAcentral